AGGGAUGUAGCUCAGUGGCACUGCACCUGCCUGGCAAGUACAAGGUCCUGAGUUCAAUUCCCAGUAUCCCCC
Molecule: non-coding RNA, 72 nt
Organism: Fukomys damarensis (Damara mole-rat)
Lineage: Eukaryota; Metazoa; Chordata; Mammalia; Rodentia; Bathyergidae
Source: Rfam